UUCGGGACGCCGGCGAGUGGCGAACGGGUGAGUAACACGUGGAGACCUGCCCUGGGGUGGGGGAUAACAGCUAGAAAUGGCUGCUAAUACCGCAUACGCCUUACGAGGGAAAGAUUUAUUGCCCCAGGAGGGUUCCGCGUCGGAUUAGCUUGUUGGUGGGGUAACGGCCUACCAAGGCGACGAUCCGUAGCUGGUCUUAGAGGAUGAUCAGCCACACUGGGACUGAGACACGGCCCAGACUCCUACGGGAGGCAGCAGUGGGGAAUAUUGCGCAAUGGGGAAAACCCUGACGCAGCGAUGCCGCGUGGGUGAAUAAGGCCUUAGGGUUGUAAAGCCCCUUCAGUGGGAACGAUGAUGACGGUACCCACAGAAGAAGCCCCGGCUAACUCCGUGCCAGCAGCCGCGGUAAUACGGAGGGGGCGAGCGUUGU
RNAcentral lists this ribosomal RNA (430 nucleotides) under uncultured bacterium. RNAcentral describes it as "bacterial SSU rRNA". It matches the Rfam family "Bacterial small subunit ribosomal RNA", at positions 79 to 544 of the family's 1533-position model. The record is from RNAcentral.